AUGCACCCGCCUCCACUACCUAACUGGCUUCGAGAAGAGCUUCUAAAGAAAAAAUCAACUCUAGUGAGUGCUUCAGUGCAACAUCCGACAAAUUCUGAUUCCAUGGAAUCUGAAGAUGCCGCAGAACCACCAAAAAGAGCUAAGCAAACUGGCAGUAGAAGCAUUGGUACAACAAAACCAAUCGAAGUUGAUGAGGAUGAAGUCGAAGCGGCACGGAUGGCAUCAGUCAACAAGGAAAUUAAACGUGUGUUGACAGAAGUUCUUCUGAAGGUUUCUGAUGAUCUUUUUGAUGAGACCGCAACCAAAGUUAUGAAUGAAGAUGAUUUAUGA
Molecule: ribosomal RNA, 330 nt
Filed under: Triticum aestivum (bread wheat)
Lineage: Eukaryota; Viridiplantae; Streptophyta; Magnoliopsida; Poales; Poaceae
Description: partial small subunit ribosomal RNA
Source: RNAcentral